UGAAAAUCAAUGUUUGAAUAAAUAUAUGUUGUAUGAAAGUAAAGAAAAUUCGCUACAGUACAAUGAAGCCUCACCCCUUCUUGCGUGUUUUUGUGCUCUUCCUCUAACGCCUUAAGAUGCUAAAAGUUGGUGUCAAAGCAGCCGUUCGUCUAUGGCAACUGAUUUGGAACUAGGAAGCACACCAAUUCCAAUGAAAGCGACCCACCUUAACUCUCCUAUGAAUACACCAUCAAGCACACCACCGUGCUGUCCGUGUGCUCACUCUGAUAAUUCACUGGAGCCUCUGCACUUCACUAAGGUGGAAAAAAUGUGGUGCAUACCAAAAGAAAAUCUUCGCAUGAUGGCUGCUACACCAUAGCAGAAAGCCAAACUUAAUGUUAUUUUUUUUGCCUCAGCACAGAAAGGGUUCUUCCACAUCGUCGCUGUCUGACAGUGGAGCUAAGAGGUCACCUGGUGGUGGUCCUCCACAGUGGUCUCCACUUGGACUCCGAUGAUGAAGCUGUGACCACUCGUGCGCGUCCUCUUCGUCUUUAACAUGGGGGGGCUGUGGACCGUCCGGGUCCAACCUGGACCUCUCCCACUGCACCUGAAGGAGACGUUUUCCCUGCUGGACGUCUGCAAGACACAAGCAACACAAACACAGUAUAGAUCACAUGGGUCAAAUAUCAUAUGGUAUGACAUGGAACAAAGUCAGACUCGUCAAGGUGGUGUUCAAAAAGAAUCUUUUACCACAUUGUCAGCAAUCAUUAGUUUUUUAAAUCCGGUUUCUGGACUCGUGUCUAGUAUGAUGUUUCGCAAAACUAGGUCUACAAACUGAACAGGUAACAUUUUCAUUUUUUUUUUUUACACUUAUGUGAAGCUUUGUUGUUGUCUUUUCAGAGCAUUUCAACUGUU
Long non-coding RNA from Phyllopteryx taeniolatus (common seadragon), 894 nucleotides. RefSeq lists it as uncharacterized. The transcript is spliced from 5 exons. NCBI's taxonomy places the organism in Eukaryota, Metazoa, Chordata, Actinopteri, Syngnathiformes, Syngnathidae. The record is from RefSeq and is a predicted model, not a curated record.